GAUAACCUGCAGCCCAGCAUCCUAAACUGAGUCCCUGCCAACCUGCCCCGUAUGACGCUGAGUGCACAGCUUCCAGGGGUGGGACCGACGCCUUUGGGGGCUGCCAUUCAGCUGCCCCCACCCCGAGAUGACUCCUACGCUGUCUUAAUGCUGGUUUUGAUUUUUUUUUAAUUUUUUAUUUAUUUAUUUACGAUAGUCAUACAGAGAGAGAGGCAGAGACACAGGCAGAGGGAGAAGCAGGCUCCAUGCACCGGGAGCCUGACGUGGGAUUCGAUCCCGGGUCUCCAGGAUCACGCCCUGGGCCAAAGGCAGGAGCCAAACUGCUGCGCCACCCAGGGAUCCCUGGUUUUGAUUUUUUAAUAUUUUUUCAGCCUCUCACAGUCUCUGGGCCUCAGUUUCCCUGGUUGUAAAAUGAACAUUUGCCCCAGCACGUGGGCCCAGGGCCUCCCCAAGCCAACAGUGUGAGGGGCCAGCGCUCAGGGCUUGGGUGCCAGCCCUCAGGGCUUGGGUGCCAGCCCAGCAGGGGACCCCACCUCCUGUCCACCCCGGAUUCUGCACUGUGUUCAGAUGGCUGCUGUUUUUGUGAAAUCCGAGUUGCGCAUGCAUGUGGCUGAGAGGUACAGAGGCCCACCUGCCUACCCUCAGCCGUGAGCACCAGCGCUGCCACAUAGCACAGGACACGUGGGUGGCUACUCGGGAAGCCUCGGUGUCUGUACCCCUGCAGCAGCAAGUGGGGGCACCUGCCGGAACCAUGGCCGCUCCCUGCUCUGGGCUGCAGCCUGCCCCCCUCCUGUGGCCGUGGGAAGCCUUCCUUCCAGGGCAUUGCUCUGGCAGGCAAGGCAUUUGCACCCCAAGACCACAAAUACCUCUGUUUGGUUUGUUAGGGACACAGCACAGGCCAGGCCCGUGGCCAGGGUGGUGGAAUGGCCACUGUGCCCCCUUAUGCCUUACCCCACACACACCUUGGUGGGACACCGGCUCUGGGGUCUUUCCAGGCCCACAGACCAAGGCCCGAGGACAAAUAAGCCUCGCUCUCUACAUGCAUCGGAGCAGGUCCGGUCCCUGGGUUGGUCUCUGCUCCUGCCUUCCCUCUACAAACACUUCAUAAGACACCCCCCUCACCACCCCUCCCAGCUGCCACCGCCUGCCUCCCCCUGCCUCCCCCUGCCUCCCCCUGCCUCCCCAGUAGGGCAGAGGUCAGACAGCAGCACUUGCUUCUCCACAGGGGAUGGAAGCAAGCUUUCCCACACCAAAGGCUGAGCUGAAACCCAAAACCCAAGUGGGACCAGCUCUGCCAGAAGGGGAUGGCAGGGGAGCAGCAGGGCAGGGAGCAGCAGCAUGUCUGGGGAUAUGGGACUUGGCAGUGGGUGCAGCUGAUGGAGCGGCCACAUGGGCCCAGAGCACCGGGAUUUGGGGAUCAGAUGUGGGGCCCCAGCCAUGUGCUGGCUCAGGGGCAGCAUACAGCACUGGGAGAGGUGGGAGGCACAUGGUAACCAGGAAGAGGGGCCGCCACCCCGUGACACCUGCUGCCCGGGUCAGUCCUUGCACCCACUGGAGGGUGAGCCGGCAGGGGCUGGCAGCACAUGGGGAGGCAGGCUGCAUGCACCGGCGGUGACAGGUGAGCAAAGCCCGGGUCAUCCUAGAAAGGGGUGGGGACCACGCUCGGCAAAGCCACCAAGGUCAGCACAGCUGCUCCUCUGGGCCGGUGGGCAACUGCCCUCGUCACCCUCGCGAUGCUGAUCAGGCCCCCAGGCAGGGAAGGUGCCUCCUCUAGUGGUUCAGGGAAUUGGGAACCAAACCAGACGUUGGCUUCUGCUCUGCGGGGGCAGGGAGAGGUGCAGGUAUCCCGGGCUCACCCAGGGCUGCAGCUGAGGUCGGUGUCGCGCAGCUCAUCCCGAGUCUGCCCCUGGUUCGGACCCGCGGAGCCUCCCCUGCCUCAGGCACGGCCCCCGGUGCUGUGACCUGCUUGAGGCUGCCUCACCCAUUGCGGGAGCGAGCGUGCUACCCACACCCGGUGAGUGGAGGCCCCGGGCGCUGUGGACCAGCCACCAGGCUAGGACCCCCCAGCACAGAACGGUCAGCCUCCAGGGCCCUGGGUGCACCGCGGCCAGGGGCCCCAUGAACGGAUGCGGAGGUUUCACAGCAGAGACCCUGGAGCCCUGCCUCAGCUCUCCGCCUGCCCACGGACACAUCCCCUGCCCGAGCUUCUCAGCCCCUGGCCGGCGACGUCCUCGGUCAGGACUGGGCAACACACUGGCUGUGGCUUCCGAAGCACCUUACGUCCUCCAGAACAUUCCAUUGGAGAGCCAAGGCCUGUGGGAGAUCACGACUAUACCCGCCUGAGGGACAGGACACCCAGGGAGGUCGGAUUUCAGGCAAACAGUGAGCUCCACCCAUUACCCCGGGUGUGCCUGGGACCCAGGGCACCACUUGCGGGGCAGCCAAAGCCAGGAGGGCGUGGUAAAGACUGGGUCUUGGUCCCAAGCAUGUCCAGGGGGGCAGCAGCCAGGACAGCCGAUCCCUGGGGUGGCCUCCAAGUCCUCCUUGGGGUUGGGCCAGAGCUUGGAAGGCACAAAGACCGCCCCAAAUAGGAGACCCUGGUCUGUCCGGCCUGGCCGGGCAGUGGGUGGCAGACAGAGCGGACCUCAUAAGGACCUUGUAAAGACGAGCCUGGAGGGCAGAGGUGGAAGGUCGGCAUCUGUCUCCCCAGAGGGCAUGGGGUGGCUCUUCUGGCUGGACCAUGGGGGCAUGCCCGGAGCCUGGGCAGGCUAGAGAGACGGGAAGAAGGUAAACACAGCCACGGAGGACAAGGGCCACCUGGAGGGAUGGCAGGCCCCAGAGUCACGCCCUGAUGACACGGGGACCGCCAGCUGGGCCGGGGUGCUGCCCCUGCAUCCAGAGCCCCCGAGGAGGAGAGGAGGCCUCACCCCCCCGAGUGCAGCUCCCCAAGACGCCCAGGUGAACCCGUGUGCCGUCCAUGGGGUCCACCUGCCCGCUGCUCUCCCUAUGCCUCCUGAGGGACACUCCACUACGCUUGCUGCUGCUCUGUGGCCCUGGUGACCUUGUACUCUGAGGACGAAUGUGCACGGAAGGAAAGGGUUCAUACGCUGUGGGAAGUACCCCGUCCCUUGUCCCUCCCACGAUGCCCCAGGGACAGAGCUGGCCCCAAGGGGUUGGGCAGACUGGGGGCCAGGCCAGAGGAGCAGGUGGUGGCCAGAUCUGGGGUUUGCCCUUGCAGUGGGAGGGAGAGAGGGGGCAUCGCCUGAUCCCAGGGCCGGGGGGCUGCGCGGGGCGGGGGGUGGGUGCAGUGAGAGGGGCAGGG
Long non-coding RNA from Nyctereutes procyonoides (raccoon dog), 3322 nucleotides. RefSeq lists it as uncharacterized. The record is from RefSeq and is a predicted model, not a curated record. The transcript is spliced from 3 exons. NCBI's taxonomy places the organism in Eukaryota, Metazoa, Chordata, Mammalia, Carnivora, Canidae.